This 78-nucleotide non-coding RNA is filed under the name unclassified sequences. The record is from Rfam.
UUACUAGGUGAGCGUUUUAGUGCUUUCCUACUCUUUAGGAUAAUCGAAGGAGAAGCACGCCAGAUUAUCCACUAGUAA